AGAGUUUGAUCAUGGCUCAGAAUCAACGCUGGCGGCGUGCCUCAGACAUGCAAGUCGAACGCGAAAGCUCCCUUCGGGGAGCAAGUAGAGUGGCGCACGGGUGAGUAACACGUAGGUAAUCUACCUUCGGAUGGGGAAUAACAACCGGAAACGGUUGCUAAUACCGCAUAAUGCAGCGGCACCUAAUGGUGACAGUUGUUAAAGCGGGGGAUCGCAAGACCUCGCGUCUGAAGAGGAGCCUGCGGCAGAUUAGCUAGUUGGUAAGGUAACGGCUUACCAAGGCGAUGAUCUGUAGCCGGCCUGAGAGGGCGGUCGGCCACACUGACACUGACAUACGGGUCAGACUCCUACGGGAGGCAGCAGUCGGGAAUUUUGGGCAAUGGGCGAAAGCCUGACCCAGCAACGCCGCGUGAAGGACGAAAUCCCUCGGGAUGUAAACUUCGCAAGAACGGGAAGAAUAAGUGAGGGUUAAUAUCCCUUACGAUGACGGUACUGUUUGUAAGCUCCGGCUAACUCCGUGCCAGCAGCCGCGGUAAUACGGGGGGAGCAAGCGUUGUUCGGAUUUACUGGGCGUAAAGGGCGCGUAGGCGGCCACCGCAAGUCGACUGUGAAAUCUCCGGGCUUAACCCGGAAAGGUCAGCCGAUACUGCGGGGCUAGAGUGCGGAAGGGGCAACUGGAAUUCUCGGUGUAGCGGUGAAAUGCGUAGAUAUCGAGAGGAACACCUGCGGCGAAAGCGGGUUGCUGGGCCGACACUGACGCUGAUGCGCGAAAGCUAGGGGAGCGAACGGGAUUAGAUACCCCGGUAGUCCUAGCCUUAAACGAUGAAUGCUUGGUGUCUGGGGUUUUAUAGUCCCCGGGUGCCGUCGCUAACGCUUUAAGCAUUCCGCCUGGGGAGUACGGUCGCAGACUGAAACUCAAGAAAUUGACGGGGACCCGCACAGGCGGUGGAGCAUGUGGUUUAAUUCGACGCAACGCGAAGAACCUUACCU
This 990-nucleotide ribosomal RNA is filed under the name uncultured bacterium. RNAcentral describes it as "bacterial SSU rRNA". It matches the Rfam family "Bacterial small subunit ribosomal RNA", at positions 8 to 976 of the family's 1533-position model. The record is from RNAcentral.